This is a long non-coding RNA of Alligator mississippiensis (American alligator), 335 nucleotides long. RefSeq lists it as uncharacterized. The record is from RefSeq and is a predicted model, not a curated record. The transcript has 2 exons. NCBI's taxonomy places the organism in Eukaryota, Metazoa, Chordata, Crocodylia, Alligatoridae.
GAGGAAGUUCAGCAUUUCACGGAUCAAAUGAGGGGACAAGCUUCCUACAAUCAAGAUCAGACUGUGAGGAAAAGAAAGCUGUUCUUGAUCUGGAAAUGAUUGAGAAACAGCUACAUCAAGUGAAGUGAGCUGCCUGACAUCACACAGCAAAGUCAUGGGAAUAGAAUCCACUUUGGCUAACUCCCAAACUAGUGCCCUAUGCAGAAGUCAAUGCUUCCCCUCACAGUCCUUGCCUUCCCUUUGAGUGCUCAACUCUUCCAAUCAGUUAGGGUGGGGGGAAGUUGGUAGGAUACUAUCUGUCAUUAUGGCUUAAUAAAAAAUUAGGUCACAAAUCA